GUUUGGUUUUGGUUGUGAAUUCGAACCUUGAUCCUUUCUAGUGUUGAUUCAGGUGGUUCUUUCUGGGAAGCAGAGACUGGUAUUUUGGUCCCGGCCACCACAGCUCUGUUGGAUCGAUCUCUUCUUCGUAUCAGUGAUCGUCUCCGGUGAUUGAAGGGUGCAGAGAGGAUGCGAUGUGCUUAUUUUAGAUACUGGAUUGGGAAGUGCAGAGAAUCAAGCAAGGGUCAAGGAGUUGCUUCAUGUGGAGGAAUCAAAACUAGAGGAGGAUGAGGGAAAUACCACUCCAGCAGUGAGAUGGGUUCGAGAUGAUAAAUAUGAUUGCAUCCGAUUAAAGCAUUGCAAGGUUGUGACAAAAAUUGAUUGGCAUCGGAAAGGAGACUAUUUCACUACUGUCGUUCCUAGUGAUAUCCUAAUUAUGAAUUUUAGUUGUACUUAUUUUUAGUCAUUCCUAGUGCCUAUUUUAUAUCUCAGUUUUGUUUCUUUCUUUUUUCUAAUACACACUGACAAAUUGGAAAUAUAUAAAAAUCAUGACAUUAUACCUAGUUACCUAGCCUUUGAGGCUGGAAUUAGGAUGAAACCUAAAGUGCCCUGAAAAGUUUAGGCAUACCAAAUUCUCUCAGUUUAAUGACAGAGGUCAGUUGUGUUGCAAACUUUGUUGUUUUCCUUGUUUUUCAUUUACCGCGUCUAGAUUAAGAAACUAUGGCUUUCUAACUCAAAUAAAAAUUGCAAUUCCUGCCUAUCUUAGACCUAACAUUAACUUAUUAAUUGAACAGGUGUUUUAGAUUGUAAAUUUCAUCCGAGGCAGCCAUGGCUAUUCACAGCUGGAGCAGAUUCUGUCAUUAAACUGUAUUGCCACUAAUGAUAGAUUCUCCAGGAAACUUUGAAGAAUCUCCUCGAGUCAAGAUACAUGAGUACUUGCUGAUCCUACAUGAAUACGGUAGCAAGUUCAUGUUCUUUGCUUGAUAAUUUAUUCUUUUUUGACCAAUUCAUUUCCGCAAACCCCUUACCUGUAAGCACCAACUAGUAUCCUUAUUGUCAAGAAUUAAUUUUAUCAACGACUUAUAAGUUUGGUAUGCAUAUUUCUUAUGAUGUUGAACCUUGACUUUGAGACA
This is a long non-coding RNA of Zingiber officinale, 1112 nucleotides long. RefSeq lists it as uncharacterized. The transcript has 4 exons. The record is from RefSeq and is a predicted model, not a curated record. NCBI's taxonomy places the organism in Eukaryota, Viridiplantae, Streptophyta, Magnoliopsida, Zingiberales, Zingiberaceae.